UUGGUUAAAAAGAGCAACGAUUCUAUGAAGGGUAAAAUCAAAGAGUGAUAGAGCAAAUCAAUGUGAUUGACUGGGCAGUGAAGUGAAGAAGGGACUUUAUUGUCUUCCUCAGCUUUCUUGCCGAGAAAGGAGCGUCCGAGACAUCUUUAUCUGAUGAGCCGGUCCCUGUAGGUGGCUGGUUGCUAUGUUACAUCUUGUCAAGAUGUCAAAUCCAUCGGCUUUUUGUAAAUUGCUGAAUGACAAAUUUGAAAUGGAGCUUCCAUUUUCAAUAAAAGAGAUUGAACUCCAAUUCCUUCCAACCUGACAAGGUUCUUGGCAAAAGAAAAAGGGUUGGUUGUAUUAUCUUGGCUUGGUUCUGAUGAUUUUCUGUCCGUUCAAGUUUCCAUGAUCAUGGAACUUGAACGUAAAAAAUGUACAAUGAUCAAAAUGCAUGGAAACUUCAAAUUCAAAUGUUACUUAAGAACUCUUAGGAUCCCAAUUCCCUGUGCCAGGAAUCUGAUUGCAUUUCAAAGAUCUGAGAAGCCCCUUUCUGGAAAUCUGACUUUGGACAUCAACAACCUCCCAACUUUGCUUCACCAGUAGCUAUCAUUGUGUGUUUCGGACAGGGAUUGCACCUACAAGGUGGACGGGCCUUGCUUGACCAGUAGCUAUCAUUGUGUGUUUCAGACAGGGAUUGCGCACCUACAAACUGUCCAUGAGGGCCUGUGUGCCCAGAAAAGAGCCAGAGGGAUCGAAUGUGAACUCGAGUUUUUACAUUCCAUUGUUUCAAGAAUGAGUAAAAGCCCAAACAAAAUUGCUUCCUAUUUCACACAAAACUUGUACAACUUUCAACUGUUUAAAACCCUUAGCAAACCACACCAUAAAUACACUACCCCGGCCAGAUGAUAUUAUAUUCAAGUAAAGCUUACUGAGGUGGUAAGACAAAUCGCCCCCACUCUCUUUUACUUUUUGUUAAGCAGGUGAGCAAGGUUGCGAAGUUCCUCAAAUGCAUGCAUUGUUUCUGCAUCAAAUCCUCCAGCAAACUGCAUAAGGCAAGAAAAAAAUCAUUAACUUUUGCUAUGCAUUGUUUUUCUUUCCCCUUCAUAAACAUUAUUUAAGAUGUCUGGGCAGAGAAAAGUUGAUUUUUCCUGUGCAAACCAUGCUGCCUUGAAAAAUAUUAGUUACUUUACCCCAUCUCUAUGUUCGUAAUAAAUGUCAACCAAACCAAACAGUUGAGUUCAAGAAUCUCACUCUGAGAGAUACUUUUCUUUCUGGUACAAAAAGUGAUCUUGUUGGUGCAAUAAAUCAAGAUGAAAUAAAAUGAACAGCCACAAAAUUGCUUAUCUACAAACCUGAUGGAUUCUGAAAGCAAAUCUGACCCCUUGAAGUAGCAUAUAGUCCAGAGCAGGGUCUUUCUCUAGUGCUGCUGCCUUAGACUGGAUUUCUGUAGCUACCCUCUUCAUGUACUUCUUUGCCAACUUAACUGAGCCAAACUUUAUCUACAACACGAGUUGUUGAUUAAUUGCCAUGUGAAGGUCAUUGAAAAAUACUUGAUGGAAAUGCAGCAUAAAAUUGGCAGUAAGGGUUGUACCUAGAAAAUUUCUAGGAAGUAUUCAAGAAUUACAAGAAGCUUACAAUCACAUGGAUGUCCAGCUUAAACAGAAGUACAAAAUCUUAAACCUUUUCAUUUCCUCAACUCUACUGGUUAAUCCAAAAGCCAUCAUUUUCGAAUGUAUCAGUUGUUUUCCAUUGUUCACCUCUUAGUCAUCUGUAUGUCCAGUUUUAACAAAAAGUGCAACUUUUCAAUUCCUCGAACUCUAAAGCUUAAUCCAAAAGCCAUCCUUUUGAAAUAACCAUUGGUCGUUGUUAAUUGUUCGCUUCUUAGUACUGUAUUGCCAUCUCCUCCAAAGGAAGAUGGACCAGAUUUUAUUCCUUCUUUUCUUGUGUCCAGAUCUUGUAAUGUUUAACUUGUAAACUAACUAGUGAAGAAUGAAAUGAGAACGUCAUGGCUUACCUUGCUAAUAAUUCCGUUGUCAAGCAUCCAAUCUGAGGGAAUUUGGAAUUCUUUGCAAUUACGCAUCAAAGACUCUCUUGUUCGUAGAAGGUUAUAAACAGUGCGUUCCAUCCUGCAGGGUGUAUCAAAUUAAUAUACACGGAGACAAAUUAUUUCAGGAUAAAACAUUAGCAGAUGGCAAAAUUUCAGGUUCUUACUUCUCAGACAAAGCAACCAUUUUCUUUAGUGCAAUGUCACAAGGAACUCUGGGAUCAUUCUUGUAAUAUGAUACUUCAGAUUCCAACUUCUUAAGAUCACUAUACCCAAACGCUGCUUCUCUCAAUGUGUCAGCUUUCUUUUCUGGCCAGUCAAAGUGCUUCAGGACUGCCCUUUCAUCCACCUUCACGUAAAUGAAAGCACCAUGAGGAUGAUAUAACAUCUUUUUGUCAUCCAUAUAUACUAUUUUCCCUUGUGAAUU
Molecule: long non-coding RNA, 2450 nt
Organism: Populus trichocarpa (black cottonwood)
Lineage: Eukaryota; Viridiplantae; Streptophyta; Magnoliopsida; Malpighiales; Salicaceae
Exons: 2
Source: RefSeq, a predicted model, not a curated record